GACGUAGGAGGCGAGCGUUAUCCGGAUUCACUGGGCGUAAAGCGCAUGUAGGCGGUUGCACAAGUCCGUUGUUAAAGCCCCUGGCUCAACUGGGGGAGGUCAAUGGAGACUGUGCGACUUGAGGGCAAUAGAGGCACGUGGAACUCCCGGUGUAGCGGUGGAAUGCGUAGGGAUCGGGAAGAACACCAGUGGCGAAGGCGACGUGCUGGGUUGCACCUGACGCUGAGAUGCGAAAGUGUGGGGAGCAAACGGG
This 253-nucleotide ribosomal RNA is filed under the name uncultured bacterium. RNAcentral's name for it is "partial 16S ribosomal RNA". It matches the Rfam family "Bacterial small subunit ribosomal RNA", at positions 524 to 776 of the family's 1533-position model. The record is from RNAcentral.